Molecule: long non-coding RNA, 1003 nt
Filed under: Linum usitatissimum (flax)
Lineage: Eukaryota; Viridiplantae; Streptophyta; Magnoliopsida; Malpighiales; Linaceae
Description: long non-coding RNA (LUSI_LNC003653)
Source: RNAcentral
UUUUCUUCGGCUUUAACUUUCUUUUAAUACUAUUUUUUUUACAAAUCAAGAAAUUUUCAUUUAUAGAGCAAGAAUUUGGGGUUUAUAUCUGCCACAAUUGGGAUGCGCUUCCUAGAAGGUAACAAAGGAGAAGUUUGUAACUAAAUAGUUAGAGUACUUCGCAUCCUCAAUCUUCACGAUCAUGAUCAGUUCUAGACUCGACAAACUAGAAUAAUAUCACUACUACCCCGACUCUAGAUGAAAACCGAAAGUAAAAAAGACAAGACAACGUUUCUCAAAACCAAAUCAACCGCUCAAACAAAACAGCAAACUAAGAAAGAACGGAAGGGGUAGCUGAUCGCACAAUCGCCAAGGUGGAUUGACCGGUGAUCUACAAAGCCGACGCUUUUAGAGGGUUAAAGGGCUAGACUAGUCGCCUCGAGCUGACUCGUCUGUACUUCAAUUCUCGAUGGAUCCGUCGGUUCCGGUGGAAUAGCAGUGGUGAUGCGGCUGAGCUUUUGAACUUGGAGAGUGAUGAGGUCAUCGAUGGUCAGCUCUGCAGAAUUCGCCAAGACCAUCGCUGGAUUCGCUACCGUUAACCUAGUGUUAGAGUCUUCGGUUAUUGAUGGUUACCUUCGCCGUCCGGCUGAUGCCAAACCCCUUCCCCUAGAUCCUCCUUCCAGAGUUCAAUCUUUGCUUCGAAGUCAGUUGGAUUUGGGUCGGCUUGGCUGCCGCCGACGUUGCCAUAGCUGUAUGCUUUGGCAUGUUUGAUGGAGGCGACGGCUGAGGAGAUGAACGGAAUACAUGCGAGAAGCCGUCAAUAAGCGGCGAGUCUCACAAAGGAGACUAACAAAAACCAUACACGAGGGCUAUCCGAAUGUUUCUUUUUUUUAAUACUAUGAUGUGGUUUGAUUAGAAAAAAUUGAGGGUCAACAGUUUCACCUUAGUUAUAAGAAGCUUUUCAGCUGGUUUUGUAGAUUAUAACGAAACCCACUUUGAAUAUCUGGAAAGUUGCAGUUCGGGC